Molecule: non-coding RNA, 136 nt
Organism: Enterococcus avium ATCC 14025
Lineage: Bacteria; Bacillati; Bacillota; Bacilli; Lactobacillales; Enterococcaceae
Source: Rfam
AGUAUUCUUCGGGGCAGGGUGUAAUUCCCGACCGACGGUGACAAGGCGUGCCUUGAAGUCCGUGACCCGCAUUUUUGCGGUUGAUCCAGUGUGAGUCUGGAACCGACAGUUAAAGUCUGGAUGGGAGAAGAAAAAC